CGUUUCACAUAUUCUCUCACAAAGAUUUAACAAAAGUGAAUUCUAAAACUUAUUUGUCUGGAUCUGGAGACUUUUCUAGUUGCUCUUGUGUAGUUUAGAUGGUGUCAUGCAUAUACAGGAAGAGGAUUUUUUCACUGCAGAUUCAUUUGUGAAAACUGUCACUGACACAUUAAGCUGCUGAUAUUUCUGUCAUUUGGGUGUCGACGCUGAGACAUUCACACUGCAGCACGUUUUAUGAUUGCAGAAAUCACUAUGGCGACAUCACUCAUGACGUCACUUCCUCUGAUGUUCUUGAUCAUGACUGCGGGGGUUGAUGGUCAGCAGGAUUGGGGAGUGAAUUACAGCCCUUCAUAUGUUUGUGCAUUAAACGGAUCAACAGUGAAAAUAUCCUGUGUUUUAAACUAUCCACAUGAUCUUGAGGUCAGAACAGUCUUCUGGACCAAACCUACUGUAACUGAUGGAGAUCCACCGAACCUGUGUUUAGACUCAGAAAACCAGAGGAAGAGUUCAGUGUGACAGAGAAAAUAAUAACACUUACAGUAUCACUCUGACAGAUGUAACAGAAGCUGAUAAACACAUCUACUACUGCAGAUUCACUACAAACAGAGGGACAUGGACGGGGAUUCCUGGAGCUCAUCUGGACGUCACCGAUCUGCAGGUGGAGACACAGCAGAGUGUGAAAGAGGGAGAUUCAGUCACUCUGACAUGUAAAAGCAGCUGCUCUCUGCCUCAAAAAACAUUCAUCUGGUUCAGAAACACACAGAGAUUAACUACAGGAAUCAUCACAGAGAAUCAGCUUCAGCUGGAGUCAGUCAGUCGUCAAGAGACAAGAAACUAUCAGUGUGCUGUUUCAGGAUAUGAACAUCUGAUCUCUCCACAUGUUAAUCUUAAAGUAGAAUGGGGUGAUGGUCAGCAGGAUUGGGGAGUGAAUUACAGCACUUCAUAUGUUUGUGCAUUAAAGGGAUCAACAGUGAAAAUAUCCUGUGUUUUUAAACUAUCCACAUGAUCUUGAGGUCAGAACAGUCUUCUGGACCAAACCUGCUGUACCUGAUGGAGAUCCACCAAACCUGUGUUUAGUUCCACAAAAGAGAGGAAGAGUUCAGUGUGACAGUAAACGUAAAAAAGACACUUACAGUAUCACUCUGACAAAUGUAACAGAAGCUGAUAAACACAUCUACUACUGCAGAUUCAUUACAAACCUUCAGAGUGGAAAAUGGACGGGGAUUCCUGGAGCUCAGCUGGACGUCACAGACCUGCAGGUGGAGACACAGCAGAGUGUGAAAGAGAGAGAAUCAGUCACUCUGACAUGUAACAGCAGCUGCUCUCUGCCUCAAAAAACAUUCAUCUGGUUCAGAAACACACAGAGAUUAAAUACAAGAACCGUGAAAGAGAAUCAGCUUCAGCUGCAGUCAGUCAGUCGUCAAGAUGGAGGAAACUAUCAGUGUGCUGUUUCAGGAUAUGAACAUCUGAUCUCUCCACCUGUUUAUCUUAAUA
Molecule: long non-coding RNA, 1494 nt
Organism: Cyprinus carpio (common carp)
Lineage: Eukaryota; Metazoa; Chordata; Actinopteri; Cypriniformes; Cyprinidae
Exons: 6
Source: RefSeq, a predicted model, not a curated record